This is a non-coding RNA of Rattus norvegicus (Norway rat), 24503 nucleotides long. The record is from RefSeq and is a predicted model, not a curated record. NCBI's taxonomy places the organism in Eukaryota, Metazoa, Chordata, Mammalia, Rodentia, Muridae.
GUGGUGGUAUCUGUUUGUCUUUAGCAACAUCAGCACAGUCAGUGUUACAUGUCUGUCACUACAGAAGGCAUCCUCAGGGCUGACAAAAUGACUCAGAGGAUAAAUGCAUAUCACCAGAUUCCAUGAUGGGAGCAGAGCUGGCUGCCCAGGCUUCUCCAGUCUCCACACAUACACAGUGGCAUGUGUGCACCCUCACAUAUGCAUAGGUACAGUGCACACACAAUAAAUAAUAAUAAUAAUAAUAAUAAUUAUAAUAAUACAAUAGUUAAUGUAGAUAAGGAACCUUCAUCUCUAGCUACUUACCCCCCUCUGUAGGACUCAGGCAAGUGCCUAAGUACCAUCUCAGCACGGCAUCUCUUACAGAAGCAGUCAUGCAACUCCACCCUUGCUCCCUAAGGUGAGCUUUCUCCUGGAGGCUGUGGGAAGACUUUGAAGCACUCAAGCCACCAUUCUCCCAACAUGCUCAGUAAUAUCUGAAUGCAGGAAAACCAACCUGAGCUUUGGAAUAAGGCCCUGUUACGUAAGUGGGAAAAUGGGAUAGCACCUAUCAGCUCUUUAGCACGUAGAUGGAUCCUUAGCAUAGAACAGGCUCAGGGAAACUUCCAGCGUCUUCUCCAACAGUGCUUUAAAAUGUGUUCCUGUGACUUGGGAAGAUGUGGAGUGCUAUUCAAAAUGAGAGGCCAGAAGAGGGCUAGGGUGCAGUUCUAGUUAUGGUAUGGAUCCAUUCACCACCUCAGUUCCCUUUUGCGCUCCAGGGGAGUGUUCUAGAUCCAGGGCGGCCAGCCUUUUCAGUAGAAGACGGAAUCUCCAGGUUGUGUAGGUUACACAGCUACUUUACUCACCACUGUGAUAGAACACCGGGUAGAAACAAGUUAGAAAAUAUUUAUUCUAGAUCACUGGUCAGAAGACAUGGCCCAUCACAGUGGGGAAGGCACGGCGGCAGGAUCAGGUCUGAGCCUGUAGUAGUGGGAGCACAGUUCAGCCAGAACUAGACAGCUGAAGCGGGAAAUGGGGCCGAGCUACAACCCUGUGUUCUGGCCCACAACAACCUGUUCCCUCCAGCUAGGCCCUGCCUUCUAAAGGUUCUACAACCUCCCAAAAGAGUGCUACCAACUAGGGGCCAAGUCUAAACCUGGGAGCCUCUGGGACACAUUUCACACCUACACCACAACACAGGUUGUUCAUCCACUCGACUCCAUUACAUGGCUGUCUUCUAAAGCAUUGUGAGCUAUGUACAGCCUCGUGCUGAUGUGGCUUCAUCUUCAGACACAGGCAACAGCCUGCGUUAGUCAUGCCAACCAGUUUGGCCGUCCCAGGCCUCAGUGGCCUCCAAAAUUCCUCCAAACUGUCCCUUCAGCUGACAAUUAGCUCCUUCGAUAGCACACAUUCGAUUCAUUUGAAUGUGAGUCUGAAUAUAGUAACACCAGCAGUUUAGGUAUUAUUUUAGAUAUCAUUUCCCUCCAGUGAUUCAUUGAGUUUUGACAGCAUUUGUUGAGAGCCUAACAUAUGCCAGGUGCUGUUCUUGCUACUGGAGAACUGUAAAUCGAUUUAAUCAACAGUUGACUAAACCCUAAACAUCAGAUUGCUCACAGCCUAAAAAAAGAGUGGUCAUCAGCAAAUAUCAUGAUCUCCUGUUUAAGACCAGCGUUCGACUUCAGGUCAGGGCUGGAAGGACUGCUCAGUGCUUAAGAGCUCUUACCUCUUUUCCAGAUCUGAGUUUUUUGUUCCCAACACCCAACACAACCUCUUCUAACUCUAGAUCCAGGGGGAUCCAACACUGUCCACUGGUCCCCAUGGUUCCACAUGGUUCCACUCAACAUGUACAUAGAGACACAUGCAAUGUGAAUAAGGAAAAGAACACAAGUCACACUACAUUCUUAUUUCAGAUGCUAACAGGUUCCAGGACACAGCGACAUAACGUGUAAGAAGUGUAGCAAGCCGGAUGGACUGUCACAAAUGCACUCCAGGAGAUUUGAUGGGCCUGGCUUUUCAUGGCCCCUGCUCAGGCCACGGCUGGAUUGUACUGGAGGCCUGGACAGUGGCCAUCAGUGGUAAAGGUCAGGCCUUGCUCAGCUGCAGAGAAAGUGUAGUUUAUGACAGAGCGUGCAGCAGGAACUUCCAGUCAGGAACGUGAUACACAAGGUUCCACAUGAACAGGAAGCAUCAGGAAGCUCAUUCCCAACAGAGCAACUAAGUUGUUCCGCCUUUCCUAGCGAGGCAGGUAAAUGGUGGGGGAGGUACUUGGACCACAAGCAAAUUUCAGUGCCAAAGUAAUAUUGUGUAAAUACAUCUUUCACGUAUUUAUUUCUGAUACAUCACCACAGAUUGAUAUAUCCUCUCCAUGAAACCUGCAGCAAAAUUGAAGUUGGAUGGUUCAGCGGGCUGAUCUUAGGGAAAUCCUGAGCUGCCACCCAGAGACAUCGGAGGUGACAAGAGGCGGCAUCUGUAAGGACGAGUCGGAGGCAGAGACCAACUGCUCAUCUCAGCGAGUUCUCCGCCUUACUCCGAUGACUGAGUGGAUGGGGAGAUUGCUCCUAAUUAAAUCACGUCAUAAAAAAAAAAAGACACCAUUUUCCAUCUGAAUGCGCCCUGCAGUUCUCACGGUGGGUAAUUUGUUGUUUUAAUAAGCUGGAGGUUGAAUUCCAAGGUUGUAGCCACUGAUGCUGCACCGAAACAGCCGUGGUGUUCUGGCAGUGUGCUCGCUCCUGGGAAGGUUCCCGGGGAAGCUAGCUGGCAAGUGGCAAGUCCUUACACAAACUCUGCUUGCUGGAGACCUGGGGAGCCAACUAGUGUUUCUCAACAUGCUGUAGAAGGUCAACCUGGGCCAAGGAGGUAAACGAAAGCCUAAUUGCUAACGGAAAAGCUGAAAUGAGACGUGAAGGUAGUGAUCCUGCCUCCUUGUGUCUGGGCAGAAGUGUCCCAUCUCCCAGCCUCGUUCAGUUCUGGGUGAGGGCGGCUGAAGGGGCCACAGUGCUUGGAGUAUAGGAAGUGUCCUCAUCAGUUCUAGCACAAAGCAGCUUGGGGGACCUUGGUCAAAGGACAGGGUGGCUACUCUCAUCUGUGGAGAUGGCCAUAACUCCCACGUCUCAGGAAGGUGAAGUGACAAUCAGAGGAGGUAGUUAGGGGCUGACAGACAAAGCUGAAGUUCUCCCCUCUCCACGUCUGAGGAGGAAGAGGGCAGAGGUCGUAAGAGUAACGUGGGCAUACUUCUGGACUCUGUGUACCUCUACAUUCAGGAGUACGGUUUAUGGCUGAUAUGGAUAGAAACAGACACUACAGCCUGAGGACUUUUAUUGACUGGGAACUGAGCAGUUGUGAUAGGAGUGAACAAACAGGGCCAUCCUUCUAUGGGGUGCCAGCUUUGUGUUCUUGGCCUGGCCCUGCUCUGGAUUCUGUCCAGACUUCCUGAACCCUUUUCUCAUGGUCCCUUGGGCUGCCUGUACUGAGGCCCUUCCAUUACUCUUUUUUAGCAACAGUGAACAGCAUUUCGACCCUUUCGUAUUCCCUGAGACACUAGAAAAGGUUGUACAUUGGCUUGCUACCUUCUGCUCUCUGCCAUCCUCCCCCCCAAGUUUCCACAUCAGCUUGGCUUCAGGUAAAAUUCCACUGAAGUCUUCCACGAUAAGCACAGACUCUAAUUGUAUUGAUUCUACAGGGACCGUGCUUAUGAACCUGGCAUCAUUAGUCUCUUGGUCCCUGUGAUUACCUGAUGAUCAGGAAUCUGCUCUGUAGGCACAGGGUCCCCACGGGAGGCUGAUGGGCCAGGGCCAGCCCUCUGUUGUGAGGCAUACUUGCAUCCUCUUAGAAAAUAGAAAUCUGUGGCUCGAAUCAGUGUGCUCCCCUGGGGCUCAGCACCUCAUGGCCCAUCCUUUUGUUGGCACUCAGAGGCAGCAGCUGUUAAGGUUUGUUUUCCUUCUGUUGGGAACAAGCUUCUCCUUGCUACAGCUUCCCAGAGGCCCAUCGCCACACAAGCAGCCAGGGCGCAGUCUCAGCUCUGUUAGCUUGCUCUCCUGCGCAUUUCCUGUUUCUUCCCUCCUCUCCCCUCUCAUCCUCCCUCCAUCCUUUCUCUCCAAGCACUUGCCCUUUCUGUAUCUCACCUUUCCUCUCAGCUCAGCGGCUGUUGGUCGGGCAUGCUAACAGUAGGUAACAGCCCCUAAGAGUGACAUGGCCUCUGUUCUCAAAGCCACAGCCCUCAGCCCAGCAGAAACCAGUCUUACGUCAUCACAUUCCCCAUCCUACAUGGGGGUCUGAAAAUCUAGAGAUUGCUAUGGUAAUGACAGAUGUUAAAUAAAAUUAGAGGGAGUGUUGGGGGCCUGAAGAGGUGGCUCAGUGGUUAAGAGCACUUGCUGCUCUUCCAGAGGACGUGACUUCAGUUCCCAGCAGCCGUGUUCAUUGGUUCAAGCUCCAGGGAAUCCAGUGACCAUGUCUAGCCUCCUACAGCGUGCAUACAGUCACAGACAUAGAUAAACAUAAUAAUACAUUAAAAGGAAGGUUAUGGUUAAAGUGGGUGGGGACGAUAAGGAAGGCAAAUGAAGGGCUUGCUGUGGGACAUGAGACAGCCAAACUGCCCGGGAAAAGGAAGGACAGGGCUCUGGGGUAGCAGAGAUGAAAUAUAGAUUUUAAAAGAUGUUAACACAGGAACACCAGAGGGGAGUGUUUGCUAGCCCUGGAGGUUUAGACAUGUCCAGCCAUUGAGCUAGUCAAGGCAUAUUAAAAUUAGUGUGUUUUUGUGUGUUUGUGUGUGUGUUUGUGUGUGUGUAUUUGUGUGUUUGUGUGUGAGUGUUUGUGUGUUUGUGUGUGUUUGUGUGUGUGUAUUUGUGUGUUUGUGUGUGUGUUUGUGUGUUUAUGUGUUUGUGUGUUUGUGUGUUUGUGUGUUUGUGUGUGUGUUUUUGUGUGUGUGUUUUUGUGUGUUUGUGGUUUUGUUUUUGUUGUGUGUUUGUGUGUGUUUGUGUUUGUGUAUGUGUUUGUGUUUGUGUGUGUUUGUGUUUUUGUGUGUGUGUGUUUUUGUGUGUUUGUGUGUGUGUUUGUGUGUGUGUAUUUGUGUUUGUGUGUGUGUGUAUUUGUGUGUUUGUGUGUGUGUUUGUGUGUGUAUUUGUGUGUUUGUGUGUGUGUGUUUUUGUGUGUGUUUGUGUGUUUGUGUGUGUGUUUGUGUGUUUGUGUGUGUGUUUGUGUGUUUGUGUGUGUGUGUAUUUGUGUGUGUGUGUGUGUGUGUGUGUGUGUGUGUGUGUGUGUGUGUGUCUUUCAUCCGAGAAUGAAGAGCUCUCAGGCAAGCACAGUGCGUGUGACCUGCCAGGAGCCACAGAGGAUUAACCAGUUCACCACUACAGUGUGGGCCACCACAUCUGGCAAGUAAGAUGAUUAAUCUCGACUGUCAGUGGAUGAGAUUAGAUUUACCAGGGAAACAGACCUCUGCAAGAGUCUGUGGAGGGUUAUCUGUUAGGUUAGCUGAGGCGGAAGACCAACCCUAAGUGUGGGCGGCCCUAUCCUCUGGGCUGUGCUCCUAGAUUGAAUAAGACGGAGGCCGAGCUGAGCAUCGCUUUCGUCCGCUUCCUGACUGCAGAGUCAUGUGACCAGCCACGUUCCUGCUACCAAGGCUUCCCCACCAUGAUGGACGCCACAAUAAAACUGCAGCAAAAUAAACCCGUACAGUGUACUCGUUAGGCAUGUUACCAUAGCAAUAAACAAAUAACCAAUAUAGCCAGGCACGACGGCGCACGCCUUUAAUUCAGGAUUCAGAAGGCAGAGGCAGGUAGAUGUCCGAACUGAAAGUCAGCCUGAUUGACAUAGUGAAUCCCAGGUCAGCCAGGGCUGCAGAGUAGGACCUGUCUUAAAGCCAAUGAAGACAUUGGCAAGGGAGCUCCUGCGAGUCCACGGGCUCCUCCUUCUGCUCCACUGAAGGCCAUGGAGGCCUGAGAAGGAGCUAAAGGCACUUUCUCCAGAGUUACCAUUCCUCUAGCCAAAGAACCCUCUCUGAAUUUCUUCCACUCAGUCGUACCUAUUCAGAGCCAGUGGUGGUGUGGCCUUACAGUCUCUUUUUGAGUUUCUGGGACCCCGGCUGGCCUAAGUGUGGGGAUGCUUCUGCUCCUCUGAUAGGAGAGUCUGAGUAGCACGUGUAGCUGGCUACCCUGCGGUGGUGCCCGAGAGCUGGUAGAGCUAAGUCAAAUCUCACGUUCCCUGCUUCACACCACCUCCCUCAGCCUAGACCUGGGCUGGCUCCUCCUGUUUGUCUUCUCCCUUGUCUCAGAAACAAUGAGGCACCGUGGGUCUGCUGUGUGUUGUGGAUGGACAGGAAGUGGUGGCCUUGAGUAGGGGAUGCUUGCUAAGAGGAGCAGUGGAGCGCAGAGGCAGCACCAGCCGCUCAGCUGGAAGCCCUGGAGUCUGUGCCAGCAACAGUCCAUCUGCUUAUUCACGGAACUGGACAUAAUAAAUCCAGCUGUUUGCUAAUGUUGCAAAUGGGCCUUUUGCUAGGGCUGUUGAGGUCAAACUGAGUAAUAGGCUGUGUCCAGAGCCCGGUAAUGGCCAUCUAUUAGCUUCUGUAGGAGCACUCAUGUUAGGAAAAUCACAUCUUGUGUGGCUCUGCAGCUGAAGGAAUGGCUUGUUAAAAAUUUCCACUCAGGCAGCCUAGAGAGCUCAGGGUUUAUAUACCAAAGACUAGGAGUGUUUACUGGAAAAGCAGAAACCCUCACAAGCUCAGUGGAGGCCAGUGACCUACCUUAUGAGAACCCCUUGUGAAAGUUAACCUCAGUGGACCGGCACAGCAGCAGAGUGACAGUGGGGAUGACGGAGGGGGACGCAGCCUGCCCGUGUUCUCUCGGUGUGGUGUCGAGGGAUGGACUGUAAUUUCCUGUGAGGUCACACGAAGAGCAAGAGCAGACUUCUAAGUCUCUGGGCCAGAAGCCACUCAGCAGCUCCGCUAUGACAGGAAUCACCAGACUCACUCUUGGCUUGAGAUGUAGCUCUUCCCACCAAGAGGUGUCGUAUCAACCUGUGGGCAUCAUGUGGUAGAUCAGGGUGCAGGGAAGUGCUGUCAGUUGCAGGGUCUGAAGACUUUCCUGAAGGAUUUUGGUACUGGGGAAAGAGAGUAUAUGAGGGCAGUGCAGGAGAGGUUCCAGAACUUUCCUAAGAAGUGACAGCAGAUCUGAAGUCCGUUCACCUGUUUUUCAUGUCAGUGAUUGAACCGAGGGUACUGGGUAUUCUUCUACUGAGCUGCACCCCCUGCUACCCCUCCUUGGCCCCCUCUCAGUCUGUAGCUGUCAGUCUUUCUGGGCCUUGUCAGGCUGUCUUUGCAAUGGAAGACAGAAAUCACAAUCUUUCGCCAAAGCAGAGCUUCUCUCAGCCCUGAUCCAUUUACCAUUUACCAGAUUCCUUUCCAGGGACCUGCUUGUCUUCCUUGCCCUUCACAGAUGUUCUCUCUGCCUACCAAAUGUCUACAAUUACACCUGUAAUCUCACACUUGGGAGAAUAAAGCAGGGCAGUUGGUUCAAGAGCAAUCAGGACUACACAGUUGGACUUCAUCAAAGAAACAAACGAAAAGCAACAAAACCAGACAAACACGCCCAAACCCCAAAGAGCCCUCCUGAGCCUGUCUGUCCUCUUGCUCACUUCUGAUAGAUUAGCAGCUGUGCUCCUUCUUUGCUCUCCUAAAAGACAAAUAUAGCUGCCUCCUUCCCCACAGGGUAUAAAGAUAUAAUUAGAUCACUUGGUGAGCAUAGUUUGACUCAGGUCUUCUAGUUGCCAACGCUCACCAGAGGCAAAGCAGAAGCCAAAGCCAUGCUCUGGGAUUCCCAGCCUCCAGAGCCAUGGACCUACAGAGGCUUCCGCUAGAGUUUGAACAUGUAAGAGGUAGCACCUACUGGGAGGAAGUUAAGUCAUUGGAGAUAUGCCUUUGAUGGGCAUAUUGGAACCCUAGCCCUCUCCAUCCUCUUUACCUCCAGGCCAACAUAAAGGAAGCGGUGAGUUCUACCCCUCCACAUUCCCAACACAGCUCAAGAUGUUCUUCUGCCAAAGUCCUACCACACACUGAGCCUUCUAAAGCUGUGAACAGAAACCGCUCCUUUGUCUCAGGUAGUUUAUCAUAGUCAGGGAAAGCCAACACACACUUUUCUUUUUUAAGAUGUACGUGUGCAUGCGCGUAGGUGUGUGCAUCUGUGUGAGUACAGGCACCCUGUGUCUGUGUGCAUAGGCCCAGUUUAGGUGGCUUUUCUAUUGUAAUCCACUUUAUUAACUUAUUUUUUGAAACAGGACCUCUCACUGAACCCAAGGCUUGCCAACCAGGCUAUACUGGCCAGCCAGUAAUCCCCCAGGAUUACUGUCUUCCCUCCAGGUUUUCAGAUUACAGAUGUCACUGCCUCAUACCUGGGUUUUUAUGGGUGCUAGGAGCUCAAGCUCAGAUUCCUGUCUUUGUGCCGUAGGCACUUUGCCCACUGAGCCAUCUCCCCAGCCUUAACUUCACUUUAUAAACCAUCCAGCCCUGCAUAUUCUGCUGUAGCAAUAGAAAUGCGCUCAGCUAGUUCCCAAAAUAUAGGCGUGAUUAUCAUCCUCCCAACUCACGAGAGUGGAUACCUAUUGUCUUCUUAGCUUAUCCUGGGAGAGAGAAUAGGAAGUGUCUGUUGAGGGCCCAACCUUGUCUCUGGUGAAGCAGCCGACCUCCCAGCCCAAGUCAGAACAUUUCUUCGUCCUCCUAUGAUUUGCCUGUGGCACGUUCUCUGUCACUCAUGGACCAGUGUUGUUAAAUCACCGUCUGCAAACAGCUUGCCUCUCAGUGGUAGAGCACUUCAAGCCCUUCCCAAUCAGAGGACUGUCAUGAUAGUUUGGCAUGAUGGAGAUGUGCUUGUCUUCUGUUAAGCUGAACUAACACAGGAAUUUAACUAGAUGAGAGGUGACCCUUGGGGUCGGCACUGCCAGCUUCCGUUGUUAAUCACACCCUUUAGUGUCCUCACUUUUUAUCUAUAUAUGGGAAUGUUUCACCUGGAUGUACUUGUAGGUGCACCAUGUGCAUGCUAGGUGCCAAUGAAGGCCAGGAGAGUGCGUCAAACAGCCUUAAAUUCCGAGCCGUCUCUGAUAUUGUCUUUUCAUUUUACCUAUGUAAGCAUGUGUGUGUAUCUGUUUGAAUGUGUACCGUGUGUGUGCUGGUUUCUGCACAGGCCAAAAGAGGGCGUCAGAUUCCCUGAAACUGGGGUUAUAGGUGGCUGUGAGCCACUCGAUGUGGAUACCGGGAACCAAAUAUGGGUCUUUUGCCAGAGCAGUAAGUGUUCUUAACCGCUGAACCAUCUCUCCAGCUCCCAAAGGCACUCAUUUUAAACACCGGAGUAUGGGAGCUGACUGAGGAGAUGGAUCAUCAGUAAAGUACACAUAGCUUAUCAGCAGAGCGCUUGCCAUGUUUGACGAGUACUGGAGUUAAAUCCCCAGUACCACAUAAAAAACAGACAUGGCGCCUUGCUGAGGGGGAGGGUCAGGGAGGAGGGAUAGGAUAUGCUUGGGGCUUACUAAAACCAGUCAGGCUGCCAUAAUCAGCUACUCGCAGGUGCCAAUGACAGACCUUGCCUCAAAAAAUAAGGUAGUGAAUAAUUGAGGAAUGCUUGACAUCAGCAUCUGGCAUAAAUGCACACGCACACGCACACACACACACGCACGUCUCCUACAUUAUUGUGAGAAGAAAACGAAUUAAUACGAGAUCUUCCGUUGGGUUUUAUUUUCUGAGACUUGUUCUUACUGUGAAGCCCAAGCUUACUAUCCUUCUGCCACACCAUCUCACCCGAGUUAAGAUUUUAGGUCUUAAACAGCGAGUGAGUGAGUGGUUAGUCAGCCUGGCUAUAGAUAUUAUUAAUAGUACGGUAUUUACAGAACUGCCUUUUCUCUCAAAUUGGGGAGGUGUGUCCCGUCCCCCCCCCCACCGCUUCCCCCCCCCCCCCCCCCGCUGUUGCAGAGGUGACCUGGGUGAUUCAGUAGCCGCGUAUUCUGAUUGGUGGACGAAUCUGACAGACCAGGCGGCUGGCAAAUGAGAACACACAACCAACCAUUCCUUCCCGCCUUACUAGGCUUUCCAUUUUAGAGUGGGGCAAAGUACUCCCUUGCUUAGGCUUAAAGCCAAAGGCGCCUUCUGCAUCCAGCUGGAACCAAGGACUUCGCAGAUCACUUCCGGGGGCUGUGGGCUGCGGUUCACACUCCCGAGCCACCUCUGCGAUGUUAUUUAUGGAUUCCCACCGUAACCUGAUGCUCUAGUCUAGACAAACUGUUGCGCGCAUCUCUGAAAAGGCUAUAAUGGCUCCCAUUUGGGUACACAUUCAGAAAACACUUUUGUUUUGAUUUAAAUUGUUGGCCUUUGGGGUUCGUGCAGGUGCAACCAGAGGAGAGAUCUUUGGCAGGGAGGCUUAACGAAAACCACCAGCCAGAAGAGUACCAGGGAAUUACCCCCACCCCCAACACACCUGAAUAGGAAGCAGUUUCAAAAGGAGAGGAGGGAAGCAGGCCAGGGAACGAGCCAUCUUCCUCGGAUAUUAUAAAACGUUCAGCCCAGCUAGCGGCUCGCAGUCUGAAGCAUCUGUCACACUUCACUGACAACCAAAAUGCCUUGGAGAUAAGGCAAUUAUGAGACCCAGAAUAAAUGAAAGAAAACCCAAUCUCUGCCGAGUAGCACUGCCAUCUAUUAGGAAAUUAUUACAGGCAGAAGCGGACUUUAAUGAGAUUUUAACAAAAGAAAUCUAGUCCCUUUCCUCUGGGGCAGAGAGGGUUUUUUAAUGAUGUGAAUGAUUAAGUGGGUGAGAGGCCUCCCUGGGAGCAGGAAUACGAGGAAUAGUGUGAGCUGUGGCGCCUGCCUUGUCCAGGCAGCUCUGAGGAAGGGACCUGUGUAAUACUGUCCCAGUCUAGGACGUGGCCUGGAAGGUCAGGCCAGUCUUCUGGAUCCCAACUCGGUCUCAGAUUGCUAACCCAACAACCCACUGGGCUGUGGGUCAUUCUGAGGGCAUCAUAGUAGCCACAAGAGACUGGAGUCAGAGGGCAUAGUGACAGCUAGACCUAAGACCUGCUUGCCUUCCAUUUUCAAAGCACUGGCACUUCAGAAGACAGUGUUACUGGAGUCUAAUGUUCUUGCUUCAAGAGGAGGGAAGAGAAAGUAGGUUGCCGGGAGUAGGCAGACAGAUGCUCGGGGCCUCUUGCAUGGGGUUGAUUUUCCUGUUUUGUUCUCUUUCAUCUGUUCGUGAAAUGAAAGCGAACGGUGAGUCAGUAGGAUCGGAGAGAGGUUCCACUAUUUCAGCUGUAGUAUUUCUGUUACAUAGGGGUUUGCUGCACUUGAAGCAUAAGCCUCUGCUUCCUCUGUGGGGGUCACUGAGGAAGGCUAGGGUGACCCAAGAAUGCCUGGGCUGUCAAGAACUACUGGGCCUUUGCUGGGCAGGGCAUGAGAAGACCAUGGUUGAGGAAGCAGUGCCCACCAACUACAAUAUGUUUGUGUGUAUGUAGGGGGAGACGGACCCUCAGCAGUUGGGACAGGCAGAAGCACAGAACAUCUUCUAGGGGCAGAAUUCCAGUCAGAAGAGCAGUGUACUAUGCUGGCUGUAACCACCUGAGACAGAGGCAGACAGACUGUUAGGGUAUUCAGCAUCUGAGGACUGCUGACAAACGGGCAGCAAACGCAGCAGUGCUUCCCUUAACAGCCGUGGUAAAAGGAUUUAGAAUUGAAGACGAACUUAAAAUGAUGUAGAAGACAGAUUUGGGGGACCCGUCUUUUGGGCAGAAAGUUGAUUUUAUUGGAACGUAGGGUUGUUAUUAUUCUUAUUAGCUAAUAUUUAUUAAGCACUGAGAGCUGUUCUAAGUGCUUUACACUUAGCACUUCUCAGUCUGUCUGUGGUGACUAAUGGAUGAGCAGGAAGCAGAGGACCUCGGCUUGCUGGCCUGUUCCCUGGGCUAAGCCUUGGUUGUCUUUCUUACAUAGCACAGGGCCACCUGCCCUGGAAUGAUGCUACCCACCAUGGGCAUUUGCAUACGGGCAGUUCCUCAGUUGAGGCUUCCUUCCCAGAGGACUCUAGACUGUGUCAAGUUCACAGAGAUAACAAGGAAGGAAUAAGAUAACAGGAAGGAAUCCCUGGGUCAGGUGCCAAGUUAGAUGUGUCCUGCUUCUUGGUCAGGUAUGAAGUCAACCGUUGUUUGUAGAGAUGGGCUGUGAUGCUCACACUGUUGUCGAGUGUAUAAAAGCUGUCAAAGCCCUUGGCGGUAACAGCCACCGGAAUGCCACUGUUUGCAGUGGAGAAAGUAGGAGGAUGGACGAUAGGAAUUUGUAGACUGCUUGCCUAUCAUGCAUGAGACCUUGGUUCAGUCUCCAGCACUAUAUAAACAGGGCUUGGUACUGGCAUGCAUCAGGAAUCCCAGCACUAGCAAAGUAGAGGCAGGAGGAUCAGAAGUUCAAAGUCAUCCUUGGUCACAUAGCAAACUCAAGGCUAGCCUGGGCUACAUGAGAUUCUGUCUGGGGAGGGAGAGAGGGUGAUGCCUCCGAUGGUUCUUGCUUAUUCCAACUUUAUGAAAAUUAUCUCACGCAUGUUAUCAAGUUAAUUCUGACGUAAUUCUGCCUUGGCAGAUGGACCCCAGUACUCUUUUUUUGUUUAAUUUAUUUAUUUCACAUAUGUUAGUACACUGUAUCUGUCUUCAGACACACCAGAAGACGGCAUCAGAUCCCAUCACAGAUGGUUGUGAGCCACCAUGUGGUUGCUGGGAAUUGAGCUCAGGACCUCUGGAAGAGCAGUCAGUGCUCUUAACCGCUGACCCAUCUCUCCAGAUCAACCCCAGUACUCUUAUGUCCCCACAUUAUGCUCACACUCAGGCUGUGUAGUUUGGUCUUUGUUAGCUUCGGGCUGUACUUUGGGUUCUAGGGAUUUGGAGGGACCGAUGCAUUAAUUAAUGAGUCCAGAGGAAACAUCUAAUGAUUACAAAUGAGGAAACUUGCUAGAUGCAAAGUAGAAGCUAAUCCAGGCCUAUUAAAUUAUCUCCAGGCACACCCAGCCACAUUGGGAACAGGAAGUAUAGUUCUGCCUGAGGCCCUCUCUUCCCUAAGUUCUGACAAGCCACCUUCUCUGUGGAAAGUCAGUCCUCAAGGUAUUAGCACCAGAAUUGCCCGGCUGUGACUCACCUUCCUAAGCGUAAGAAAGAGGAGCCUAAUAUUUUCUACAAGUGACUGUGGAGAUGCCUUGGGGACACUCAUUCCUUUAUUUUGCUUUGCAUAAUAAUACUUAAUACUGUUUAAAAAACAUUCUGCCAGGUGACUCUUUCCCUAGGCAGGACUUUUAUGUUUCUGAUUGCAGUAUUUUAUAAAUAAAUUCUACUUGACCAUAUUAAAUUUUUUUCCUUCUAUUGCAAACAUUUGCCAAAGACUACUAGAAUGAGGAGGAAUGGGUCUGCAUUCCCAGCCCUUAACAGGUCUGAUUUUAAAACAGUCAGCUCACGAGGCACCUGCAUGUUCUGUUUUCUGUCCAGAGCGAAGCUUCAUCACAGAGGCUGGGGCUGAAGUGUGCCACUUCUCACAUAUGCAGUGGCUAUCCCCGUGACCCUUGCUGUUGCUGUAUGUCCUAGAGGAUCCGACAAGGCCAUCUGGCUUUUCUUGGAAGGAUUUGGGGAAACCUGCUUCCCACGAUUGAGGUCCAAUUUUCUUGCUGCCUACCAUGGUGCAGGCAGACUCUUACCUUCUGAUGGUCACUUCUAUCUUUAGCAUGAGGCCCCUUCCCCAUUCUUUGAAAUUUUAGAAAUUAUUUUUCGCGUAUGGGUGUUUUUCCUGCACAUUUAUCUGUGCAUCAAAUGAGUGCAGUGCCCUCAGAGGCCAGGAGAGGGCAAUGAGUCCCCAGAACUGGAGUUACUGAUGGUUGUGAACUGCCUUGUUGAUGCUGGGAAUCAAGUCUGGGUGCUUAGGAAGAGCAGCCACUGCUCUUAACUACUGAGCCAUCCCCACGUCCGUCCCUGGCUCUCCUUCUUCUCAGAAGCCAUAGACACUGAAUGUUGUUAUUAAAUAUCAAAUAUCCGCUGAACCCUCGUGGAAAGAGCACACCAAACCAACACCAACGUGGUUCCAUGUGGUGAGAUUUAAUGGGGGAACGAGACAAGGGGAGGGGGCAAGAGAAAGAAGAGAAAAGAGGACAGAGGGAGCCUGCCUUUUAUUUGGAAUGUGACAUAAGGUUCCCAGGUGGAGGUGCAAAUUCAGCCAAAAGGUCUUCUGGGAAUGUAUGGUCAUUGCCAUGGCAACAGUGACCAACCAGUGUCCCUGCUAAAGGCAAUUCCUGAAUCCCACUCUGGCUUCCUGUCUCCUGCUGGUGACCAAGGAAAACUGAGCUACAAGGGUCUCUGAUCUGCCUCCAUUACCACCCACCUCCUUUCUCGUUUUUCAGGGAGACUUUACUAAAGAGCUCUGGAUAGUCUGAUACUUGUCAUGUGGCCCAGGCUGGCCCUGAACUCCUCUCAGUUUCAAACAGCCAGAGUCAGGCUGGCCUUGACUCCCUGCUCCCAGACCUGUGUCAGAAAAAUCAUCUGGCCAUCUCCGUGUCAAAAGAGCAACUGAGGGGCUGGGGAUUUAGCUCAGUGGUAGAGCGCUUACCUAGGAAGUGCAAGGCCCUGGGUUCGGUCCCCAGCUCCGAAAAAAAGAACCAAAAAAAAAAAAAAAAAAAAAGAGCAACUGAUAUGGAACUUGAAUAACAUUUGAAAGGAAAUGUCCUUUUUUUCAUUACCUGGAUUAGUGUUCAGCUGAAUUAUGAGGAAAAGAGAAGCUUGAAGGACUAUUUUUUUUUAAAUAAUUUUGGUGGUCCCUGUCCCAUUACACAACUAUUCUUGGCAGCUGUGAUGGGUAGAGCUAUCUAGGGCUUAUGGCUUUCAGCACCACCCAGGGAGACAGGAACAGAAACAGAAAUGUCCUUCCCAGCUGAAGAAAUAAGAUAAUGAGACUUAACCAACACCAACACUGUUUCUAAUGAUCCCCAGCCCUAGAACAGCACCUGGGACAAAGCAGCCCUCACCCAGGUACAAUACCUUGAGUAAAUGGCUGCACCAAUCACAGCCCAUUUGUCAAUGUUUGUUGUUGCUUUUGAGUCAGGGUCCCUCUGUGUAACCCAAACUCACCAUCCUCCUGCCUUGGGCUUGGGAGGGCUAGCAUUGCAGGUGUUCACCACUGGGCCUGUCUAGCCAACUCACACAGCAUACAGUGAGGGGUAUAUAGAGCCCUUAAACUCCAUAUUCCUUGCCAUGGCCAAUUCUAUAUGUCAACCCAGCUGGAUUAUGAUAUCCAGUUGUUCAAAUAAAUACUAGCCUAGAUGUUGGAGUGAGGGAUUUCAACAAGUGGGGCUCAGAAUGAAGCAAAUCUGUAGCAUGGGUAGGCCUUGUUCAAUCAGGGAACUAGGUUUGGGACCGUGAAAGACAGCGUGGUUCUCAGUUGAGCUAAAGCUAGAAGCCCUGGUGACCCUGAAGGGGCAUUAGGAUCUUUGCCUGCUCCCAGUCACCAGGCCCCUGUCACUAGCCACAGCCCCCCAUAGACUUAUGGCCAUCAGUGAUGUAAGGGCUACACCCCAAGCCCUUCCACAUGUAAAGGAUGUAAACUGUUGUCAAGUAGGCUGAAGACAGAUCUCCAUUUUAAUGAGGUACCUAGAGGUCUGGAGGGCUGAGUCAAUAAGCCUUCCUUCCCAGACACUCCUCAGGCCUACCCUGAGAAGUGGGGUACAGUUUUACACAUCCACUUUCUGCCAUGACACAUCCAAAUGCCAUAAAACCAUGGACUGCCUCUUUUCAUCAUGAUCUGCCAUGGGGAGCCAUGGAGAAGGCCUUUGCCUACAGAGCUGGCAUCUAAUCUUCCAUAGAAGGCCCCUCUGCACUACCAACCAAGCAGACCACUAUGCCUGCUGCCAUCAAGCCAAGGACUACCACCCUGGGACCAGCCAGGGCCCCCACUUAUCCCACCAAUCCCAGGCUAGAUACAACCCACAGGACCCCACUCCAUUCUCUGCUCUUCUGAAGCUUCCAGCAGUGCCUGGGUGUUCAAGAGCCUGAGAACCAGACAGGCCUGGCCGUGUCACAGGCCCAGGACCCCCAAGCCAGCUCUGGCUGUCCCACACCUCAGACUGCGUUUUUCUUACCCUCGGAAAUUUGUCCCAGGGACUCCCUUAAGGGCCCAAUACCAGACCAAUGACAACCACAUUGGGGUAAGCACAGUCAACUCUUGAGUCCUGCCUUCCCAAGCAACAAUGCCCUGUGGUGGAGCAGACGUAGGACCCAUAACCCUACAACUAGGGUCUAAAAGAAAAGCUUUGAUGCCUCUUGGGGAAAGGGGGAGGACCAUUCAGAAACCUUACAUUCAGAAUUCCAACAACAACCUUGCCUGGGCCUCCAGACUCAUUCCUCUACUUCUUCCUCUUCUUCCUCUCCCUCCUCUUCCUCCCACAACACUAUUACAUGCAUCUUAUACCCUAUUGGCUCUGUCUCCUUGGAAAACCUCGGGUAAUAUACCAACUUUAAAGAAGUUAAAAUGGCUUCAGGAAGGUUGAAAUGUGUAAAAAAGAAAAAAAGCAAAGCACUGAACAGCAUAGAUUGGUUCUAAAAAAUGUCCUUUCCCUUGAAUUUAAGGAGGUCGCCCUUCUCAGAGAGGUUUUGUGAGCAACACAUGGACAAUGAGGUAGACAGUGAUGUCUCCAGCAACAAGGCAAAUGCCCACUGGUUACUUGUGGAGAGGCACUUGAGGAGGUUGUGGUUUUUAAUUUUCAGAGCAGCUUUGCUUUGUAGCUUGAACUAGAAUGACACCUGCUGUCUUAGUUAUGGUUUUAUUGCUGUGAAGAGACACCAUGACCAAGGUAACUCUUAUAAAUGAAAACAUUUAAUUGGGGCUGGCUUACAGGUUCAGAGGUUUGGUCCAUUAUCACCAAGGUGGGAGCAUGGCAGCAUCCAGGCAGACAUGGUGCAGGAGGAGCUGAGAGUUCUACAUCUUGAUCCAAAGGCAACCAGGAGAAGACUACCUUCUGCAGGCAGCUAGGAGGAAGAGGAGGCUGUCUUCCACUGGGCAGAGCUUCAGCACUAGAAGUCCUCAAAGCCCACACACACAGUGACCUACACACUUCCUCCAAAGGUCACACCUCCUAAUAGUGCCACUUCCCAUGGACCAAGCAUAUUCAGACCACCACACUAUGUUUCCUGCCUCUUAGGUGUUGGGAUUUUAUAGACAUGUUCCAUCGCACCCAGAUCCUGCUGGGUAAUUAUGAUAGAUUGUAGCCAGGCCAAGACAGAUCUGUGGUGCCAGCAACUGGAAGACCGAGGCAGGAGAAUCCUUUGAGCUCAGGAGUUCAGGACCAAUCCAGGUAAUAUAGGGAGACCAUGUAUCUUAAGAAGUCAAACAAGUAAAUUUCUCCAUUAUAAUCAGAGGACCAGGUUCAGUAGUACAUUGGCCUGUAAUCUCACUAUUCUGGAACUGGGGCAGGAAGAGUUCAAGUUUAGGCUGUCUUGGACAAUGAAGUGAGACCCUCUCUCAAAAUAAAGGCAAGUAGAGCUGGUGCUCAGGAGUGUAGCUCUCCUAGUGUGCAUGAGGCCCUGAGUUCAACAUCCAGUACUGAAAAUGAUAAUCAAGUAUACCUUGAUUACUAUCAAGCAGCAAGUAUAGCUGCUGCCAGAGCCAGCCUCAAUCCAAGCUUGCCCCAAGAGGUGGCCUUAUGAUCAUCCUGCCUGAGACCUGAAAGGGCAGAUCAUGGGGUCACCUCAGUCAUCGUCUCCCCUCUCUUUCUAGUGUUCUCCUCGGUUUAGGAAAUUUCUCCUGUAUCUCUUCUCCUGCCUCAAAUCCAGAAUUCACAAUGCCAGUGAAGGUGGAUAAGCCACACCCAUGCUAAGGCAUACUCACUGACACCUUCACCUGUCCCCCAGACUUGAAGUCCUGAGCAGAGUCUUCCAGCCCCACAGCCCCACCCAGGGCAAAGCCAACCCAUGUCUUCAAUCGUACUUCCAUGAAUGCUGUGUUAAACCUGGAUCAGCAGGUUUAAUGCAGGGCAGGUGUUGUUUGCCCCAGUGACAGUACUAGUAGUCACCUGGUCUUGGGCUGACAAGGGUAAGGCAAUCUGGCAGAGAAAACCCUACCACUUAGCUUCUUGGUCUUCCUUACUGGCCAAACCACCCAGAGUCAGACCAGCCAACAUAUCUAUGAAAGCUGCCUGCCUACCUGUUCCUGUGUGGGAGUGCGGUACAAAGCCCUUGUUAGGAGUCUUGGAGCUCAGCCUUGUCAAUCAUCUCACGCUGUCCUAAGAUGACUAGUAAGAUUUGCAAGGCAAAAUAAAUUCCUUUAGCAAAUACUUGUCAAAAUCAAUGAUCUGCUGCCUUGAGAUGUUCUUGGUACAGAACAGGCAAAAUUGUGUACACAGCUGGGCAGGGUGACUCACGCCUCUAAUCCUAGCGCUCAGGAGGGAAGGCUUGCUCACCACAAGAUCUAGGCUAUCCUGGACUACAUAGUGACCUCCAGGACACAGUCCUCAGAGUAAGUUCCUGCUUAAAACAACCCGUAAUAAAAACUAAAGGAAAAAAAAAAACAUGCGCAUGUUGUGAUUUCAAGGGAUCACUGUACAUUACAACUUUGUGAGAGUUAGAAGCUGAGCGGACAGAGGUGGUGCAUCUCUGGCCAUCUGGCAAAGACAGGGGAGGCCCUGUGGACAAGGGAGAGAACACAGAAAACACGAAACUCAAGGCAAACUGAAACGGAAGUAAAACUUUCAGAUUUUAACCUUAUAAAAAUUUGAGUGUUUUGUUUUAGUUACUUAUUUUUUUUAAUUUUCUGUGUUCAAGAUAUUUUAAAGAAGUGGAAACUUAAGGGUUCUUUGGGAAGUCAGUUGUGUCAGAUGGUGUUUUGCUGGGGCAGACUCAUGAAGAAACUUUUCACAGAAGUAGACAUAGGUGAAAGGAUGUUCUGCUAAAGCAAGUGUGUGAAAGGGCAGGUGAUGAAGGAUUCUUUGCUAAUGACACACACGUAUUGAUCCGCCUUACAUUGCGUAGUUGAGCUCUGUUUGUCAGGACUCCAUAUAGAGAAGUGCACCAAAAAACUUGUGGUGGUGGACUGUGGCUUCUUGCCUCUUCCUUGGACUGGCAGAGUGAUGUCAGCUGAGACACAUUCACGUGGAGUUUUCCUAACUCAGACUCAUGUGCUGAGGCAAGACACGUGCUGAGACAAGAACUAUGGAGGACACGUGAUGUGUCAUGGGAGUAUAAAUAGGACUCAACAGACUGUGAGGGAGGCUUGCUGGUAGAGUCUGUGUCCUUGCUGAGAGAGAGGCACAGCAGGCAGAGAAUUUCUCCUGGCAUCCCUGCUGGUCCGAAUCCCUCCUGCUGACUUGUGCUGAUUUGGCUGAGGGCUGGCUGUUCUUGCUAGGCCUUGCCAUCACUGCUGCUGUCCCAACUCUACCAAAAUGGAUGCCGGUAUAUCAGUGAAGUAUUUUCAAGUGGAUCAAGCUGCUGCUGCUGACCUGUGACCUGAACGGCCAAUUUUCUGACAAUGAAGAUGGGAUUUGCUCCAAAGAACUCACUCUUUCUUUCUGUCCUUCCUUCUUUCUUCCUUCCUUUCUUUUUUCCUUCUUUCUUUCUUUCUUUCUCUCUUUCUUUCUUUCUUUCUCUUUCUUCCUUCCUUUCUUUUUUCCUUCCUUCCUUCUUUCUUUCUUUCUUUCUUUCCUUCCUUCCUUCCUUCUUUCUUUCUUUCUUUCUUUCUUUCUUUCUUUCCUUCCUUCCUUCCUUCUUUCUCUCUUUCUUCCUUCCUUUCUGUUUUCCUUCCUUCUUUCUUUUUUUAUCAUCUUUAAUCUUUCCUCACAGUCCAGUUGCUAUCCCUCUACUGUUCCGCCUUCUGACAGUUUCCCAUUUAUUGCCCAUCUCUCCGUAGCAUCUUACUCUCCUCACCUCGGCCAUUGUGAGUCUGUGUAAACCGUCAUCUACUGCAAACAGAGGCUUCUCUCAUGAGUCCUAAGAGGUGCAUUAAUCUGCUCCACGUAGGUCCGGUCUCUCACCUAACCAGGGAUUCGCUGUUUUGGCUUGACUGGCUGGCCAACAAGCCCCUAGCAUCUGCUUGUCUGCCUCCGGUUGCCGUGGCAAUAGCUGCUUACACCAUGCCUGCUUCCGUGCGACUGCUGGAGGAGAUUCACACUCAGAUCCUCACUUUGCCCAGUAAACUGCCUUCUCGCUGCUGGAGAAAUAUUAACACGCCUCCACAGCCCCACUACUUAGCUCAUUCUCAACGAUGCUCAAAGGCUUCUACCCUUUGCCCUACUUCCUUCCCGGUACAUCAAUGAGGAGUUUUAAGGGAGAGGUUCCUACACUGUGCAGAAGCAAGAAAAGGCCGUGAUGCUGAGAUGGGGAGAGAGACGUUCAGAAAGUGUGCAGGGCAAGAGGGGGAGGCAGCUCAGGCAGACCCAGAGCUGGAGAGCCCUUCAGGAAAUCUGGAUGUUUCUGGAAGCAGAGAGAAGAUCCAUGGCUUAUAUGUUUUAAGGCAGUGAUUAACCCACACAGCCAGGGAACUGCAGCUGGGUGCAUACCUACCUCCCAUUUACCCACAGCCCGAGAGCUGCAGUUGGCUAAGCACCUCCCUCUCCAUUGCUUGUUGGUGACCUGUAGGACUCAGACUGACAAUCAAACUGGGUCAAACCAGAAGGCCUGAAGUGUGAAGGAUGCUCCGUGGGAUCGGUGGCAGUCUCUGAGACUGUCAUCUGAGGUCACUGAAGAACAACUGCCUCACUGACUUGUCCCUGGGAAUUUCAAUGGGAGAUGACAUAGUCCACUGUAAAUGCCCAUCAGAACCAGGGAGAUGGCUCGCUGUGCAGAUGUGAGGACUAAGAGUCUUCAGAGUCCAAUAAAAGCCAGAUGUUUGGGGUAGUGAGCGGGAGACAGAAUCCCAGGGGCAAACUGGCCAAAUUAGUGAGCUCUGUUCAGCAGUCGAAUGCAUGCUUGUUGGGGACCUGCCGUUCCCUGGCAGCUUGUCUCCUUUGAUCCUGAGUAAAAUCCUUUGCGACUCUACUGUUUUCUUCUUUUGUUUUCCUCCUCCCUGCCAACUCUACUGAUUUCAUGUGCAUAAGUUCUUUGAACAAGAUGCCAAGACCCUGGAAACCCCUGGUCUAGACAGAGAUGACCAGUAACCUAGGUAGUUAUUGGAAAUCCACCUAGAAUAUACUUACUGAUUCUUCUGCACCUGUUUCAAAAGCAUCUCACUCUGUCUAGCCAGUUAGUCUUACUACCCCCGCCAUAGCUCACAGCAUAAGGCUUAGACCUGUACCUCUGCCGUCGUCUCCUGCUCAUCUCUGAGCUGCCCGCACAGAAAUCAUCUCAACUCGCUUACUGAUCAACUACUGCAAACUGGUUAGACUGCUGUGAGUUGCGUAGAAAUUGUUCUUCAAAACAACAUUAUGGGUGAGAUAGCAGCUUCAUUUUAUGAAUGAGGGGAAUGAAACAGAAAGUUAAGAUAAUCGCCGAAUUUAUAUAACCACUAAAUAGAAAGAAAAUCUUAUCCCUGGUCUGAUUUCAAAACCCAUGUCCACUUUGCAUUACAUCUCUGUUUGGCCCAUAUACUUUCCUAGGCAUGACCAUUCUCUCUCUCUUUUUUUUAAAGAUAAAUUUGUUUAUUUAUUUAUAUUUAUAUGAGUACACUGUCGCUGUCUCCCAACACACCAGAAGAGGGCAUCGAAUCCUUUUACAGAUGGUUGUGAGCCACUAUGUGGUUGCUGGGAGUUGAACUCAGGACCUCUGGAAGAGCAACCUCUGGAAGUGCUCUUAACCAAGUGUCAUCUCUCCAGCCCCAACCCUUCUUGUCAUUAAGCCACUGCCAUACUUAAAUCUCUGUGAUUUGAGAGUUGGGACUGCAGAAGCCUAAUUCUGUGCUGGCAGCUGGCUCUCUGUGGGACACUGUUACUAGGGAUGUUAGAGGUCCUGAAGAAGGAAAGAGACUUCCCGUCUGAAGUUCCUAUUGAGCCCCACUCCAUGGGCAGCUGUGGUUCAUGCCCCACUUGGAGGUGCUUUGCCCCCUUCCCUCCUUCCACUCAGCCAGCCGAUGACCCUUUUUAAAGCUCUGGGUUCCACACCUCCCUAGCUCCUCCUCCCAAGUCCCUUGUGUCUAGGCUUUGCUUCUCAGGACUGUUCUUCUCGUCCAAGAUGGUCCCAAUCUCUUCCUUUUGAUACCCGUGCCUGUAUGUGUGAGGGUCAACCAUCGUCAGUGCUUUAGAUUGAGAGAGGCCAACAUGAAGUGGGAACUUAAGGGCUCUUCGGAAAGUCAGUUGUGUCGAACGGUGUUUUGCUGGGGGGCAAAUACGGGAAGGAGUGUUCUGAAGCAGACAUAGUUGAAAGACUAAGGCAGAUUUGUGAAGGAACGUUUAACUGAAGCAGACACAGGAAACAGGAUGUUCUGCUAAAGCAAGCAUGUGAAAAGACACACGAUAAAGGAUUCUUUGCUGACGACAUGUAUGUAUUGGUCUGCCUUACAUUGCGUAGUUGAGCUGCAGUUGUUGGGACUCCAUAGAGAGAAACGCACAAAAAAAACAAAAAAAAAACAAAAAAAAAACCUGUGGUAGUGUGCUGCAGUUUCUUGCCACCUCUGUGGACUUGGGCUCAUUGGCAGAAUGAUGUCAGCUGAGACAGAUGCAUGAGGCAAGACACAAGGCGAGGCAAGAUACAUGGAGGACACGUGAUGUUUACAGGGUAUAAAUAGAACUCGACAGGCAGUGAGGGAGGCUGAGCUUGGCUUGCUUAUUGGCUGUGCAAUGGUUGUGGGUCUCAUGUCUUCACUGAUCUUCACUUUGCUGAGAGAGGUGCAGCUGAGAACUUCUCCUGGCAUCCCUCUGGUUCUCUCCUGCUGACUUGUGCUGAGGCUGAGGCCUGGCUGUCUCUGUUAGUGGUGUCACUGCUGUUGCUGAACUGAACUGCUGAUGUAUCCAUGAAGUGUUUUCGAGUGGAUUGAGCUGCCAUUGCUGAUCUGUGAACUGAACUGAAGAUUUCUGGACAACAUAGAUGGGAGUUGCUCCAAAGAACCAUUUCUUUUUUUUUUUAAUUUAUUCAUUUAUUAUAUAUAAGUACACUGUAGCUGCCUUUAGAUACACCAGAAGAGGGCAUCAGAUCUCUUUACAGAUGGUUGUGAGCCACCAUGUGGUUGCUGGGAAUUGAACUCAGGACCUCUGGAAGAGCAGUCAGGUGCUCUUAACCGCUGAGCCAUCUCUCCAGCCCCAAAGAACCAUUUCUAAGCAGGUCCACUUCCCCCACAUCCUUUUUUUCCACUCUGGUGGGUGGUGGGGUAAAAGGGAGGUUAAAGUAUUUAAGAACCAUCAUUAAAAGUAGCCUUUGAAAAUAUUAAAGUUACACCUAAGAGAUUCAUAGAGCACACCUCUGGGUGGGUUCUAUGAGGACACUUCCAAAGAAGAUUGACAAGUGGAGACAGUAAGGGAGGGAGAAGAACCUACUCCGACUGUGGGUCGCACCAUUCAAUGGCUGGGGGUUGCGACAAAUCAAAAGCCAAACAGAAGGAUGCCAGUCUUCAUGCCCGGACUCCAAGGUUCCUGAACACAACACAACAGGUUCUGCUGCCAUUGCCCUGAACAUGUGAUCCAGACGAGUGGUUCUGCAGUAGGCUUCCAGGCAACCACAUUGUUGGCCUGGGACUCUGGGACUUCUGUCUGCCUGGAUUGAGCUGCUUCCGGGGUGGGUAUUUUCUGACUGCAGCAUGCAGACAGCCAUAGGUGGAUUACUCAGUCUCUGAUCAUGGGAAGCCAUGUAGUAUACCUUCUAUGAGUGUGCAUGUUCUCCUGGCUCUGCUGCAGAAAGCCUGGCACCAACAGGUGCUUCUUCCUGCUGCUACUCUACCAAUACCUCAGCCAUUUCCACUCUUUUAGGCAUUUAGUUGGGAACUUUAUAUCCCAUUAAAAAGUCUGGGAAGCUGUUGCCAGGAGAGAAUAACCCCAGGAAUAAAGUGAAUCUGAGGGAUGUAGGGAGAAAAUCCACUACACCUGAAGCUACUCUGUUCAGAGCCCUAGCAGCCAGAGUCCCCAGCUGUUGGGAACACUGGCUGCUAACACCAACUGCAUCAUCUGGGAAGUGCCUUUAGAGGUAUGGACCAACCUUCCUUCCUCAAGUGAACUUCAUACUUCAGGAGCGGCCAAGCACCUGUGUUAUGUUUGGGUAGGGACUGUCUCUCAGAGGCUAGAGUGUUGAAGCUUGGUUCCUAGCUGGUGGUGCUGUUUAGAAGGUUCUGGAAACUUUAGAUCAGCGGUCCUCAACCUGUGGGUUGUGGCUGCUUUAGGGAUCUCAUCUCAGCUGUUCUGCAUAACAGAUAUUUACAUUACUAUUCAUAGCAGUCGCAGAAGAAAGAAUUUUAUGGCUGGGGCUCACCAUAGCAUGAGGGUCGAAACAUUAGGAAGGUUGAGAAUCACAGCUCUAGGAGAUAGGUUCUAGAAGGAGGAAGAUCACUGGGGCUGCCUUUGAAAGUGAUACCCAUUCCCAGAGUCUUAGUUUGUGUUUUGUUUUGUUUUGUUUUGUUUUGUUUUUUUCCAGAGCUGGGGACCGAA